Molecule: unclassified non-coding RNA, 243 nt
Filed under: uncultured Lasiosphaeriaceae
Lineage: Eukaryota; Fungi; Ascomycota; Sordariomycetes; Sordariales; Lasiosphaeriaceae
Description: sequence contains ITS2
Rfam family: 5.8S ribosomal RNA (bases 1-52)
Source: RNAcentral
AACGCACAUUGCGCCCGCCAGUAUUCUGGCGGGCAUGCCUGUUCGAGCGUCAUUUCAACCAUCAAGCGCCUCGCUUGUGUUGGGGCCCUGCGGCUGCCGCAGGCCCCCAAAUCCAGUGGCGGGCUCGUCGUCGUACCGAGUGCAGUAAACAUCCUCGCUCAGGGAACCCGACGGGUGCCGGCCGUGAAACCCCCCCUCCUUAAGGUUGACCUCGGAUCAGGUAGGAAUACCCGCUGAACUUAA